Hevea brasiliensis (rubber tree) is the source of this 530-nucleotide long non-coding RNA. RefSeq lists it as uncharacterized. The record is from RefSeq and is a predicted model, not a curated record. Lineage: Eukaryota; Viridiplantae; Streptophyta; Magnoliopsida; Malpighiales; Euphorbiaceae. The transcript is spliced from 2 exons.
UGAGUCUUUUUCUUCUCCAACCCGUCCAUCUCUCUCUCCUCUUUUUCAUCUUCCUAAAUUCCACCAUUAAAGCUUAUUUUAAGCUUGUAUAACCACUAAAUCUAGCCACAAAUCCCAAAACUCCCUUAGUUAAACUUUGUUUUUAGAUCUUGAUGAAAAGAUUGGGAGCAAGAAAGUAGAGAAAAACUUGAAGUUUUGGAAGAGUGAAAGGAGCUAAAAGAGUUGUAUACCACUGAGUAUAAUUACUCAGCGAUAGCGUGUUUUGCUAUCGCAGAUAAGGAAAAGGACAAGGCAGCAGAGUAAGCUGCUUGGAGCUGAACUUGAAGCUAUUUUGGACUUUCUCCGGGUAUAUUAAUUAUACCCUUUGUAAAUUUUUCUUUUGAUGUAAAGUAAUAAUAUGUAUCCAUAUGUACACAUUGAGUAGUUGUAUAGUAAAGCUUGUAAUAAUGUUAUUUCUGAUUUUCUUUUUGAAAUUUGGGAUUAUGGUAUGUAAAUUGAAUUAAAUGCAAUGAUGAUAAGGUUUAUUGAAA